RNAcentral lists this ribosomal RNA (414 nucleotides) under Triticum aestivum (bread wheat). Its description in RNAcentral is "partial small subunit ribosomal RNA". The record is from RNAcentral. Lineage: Eukaryota; Viridiplantae; Streptophyta; Magnoliopsida; Poales; Poaceae.
AUGGCGGAGAAGGCGAUGGUGCAAUCUGCGGAGAUCCCGGCGACAAAGGCAAACCCGACGGCGACAACGACCCCGGGAAAAGCAACGAGUGGGGGCUCUUCUAGCUCCCCGAUCACAUGCAAGACGCCAGAUCCUACCGCAAGCCUCUCAGCUAGGAUGGGAGGGAUGGUUUUGCUGGAUAAGGAGGCGGAGGGUUUCGUCUUCGAGGAACCGGAUCAGAUCUUGCCCAAGAAUAUGAAGUGGUCAGCGGUGGGAAAGGCGUUCUCCCCGCGUCCGCUGAACAUGACUGUGCUGGAGAAAACGAUGCAGAGGGCUUGGGGUCUUCACCAUGAGGCUCGGUUCCGGGACAUGGGCGACAACGUCUUCGUUGUGCACUUUGGGAGCGAAAGGGGAUUGGAGACAUGCAAUGAAUAA